Molecule: ribosomal RNA, 22 nt
Filed under: Candidatus Phytoplasma australiense
Lineage: Bacteria; Bacillati; Mycoplasmatota; Mollicutes; Acholeplasmatales; Acholeplasmataceae
Description: partial 23S ribosomal RNA
Source: RNAcentral
AAGGAACUAAGGGCGCACAGUG